AGAGUUUGAUCAUGGCUCAGAACGAACGCUGGCGGCAGGCUUAACACAUGCAAGUCGAGCGCCCCGCAAGGGGAGCGGCAGACGGGUGAGUAACGCGUGGGAAUCUACCUUUUGCUACGGAACAACAGUUGGAAACGACUGCUAAUACCGUAUGUGCCCUUCGGGGGAAAGAUUUAUCGGCAAAGGAUGAGCCCGCGUUGGAUUAGCUAGUUGGUGAGGUAAAGGCUCACCAAGGCGACGAUCCAUAGCUGGUCUGAGAGGAUGAUCAGCCACACUGGGACUGAGACACGGCCCAGACUCCUACGGGAGGCAGCAGUGGGGAAUAUUGGACAAUGGGCGCAAGCCUGAUCCAGCCAUGCCGCGUGAGUGAUGAAGGCCCUAGGGUUGUAAAGCUCUUUCACCGGUGAAGAUAAUGACGGUAACCGGAGAAGAAGCCCCGGCUAACUUCGUGCCAGCAGCCGCGGUAAUACGAAGGGGGCUAGCGUUGUUCGGAUUUACUGGGCGUAAAGCGCACGUAGGCGGAUUUUUAAGUCAGGGGUGAAAUCCCGGGGCUCAACCCCGGAACUGCCUUUGAUACUGGAAGUCUUGAGUAUGGUAGAGGUGAGUGGAAUUCCGAGUGUAGAGGUGAAAUUCGUAGAUAUUCGGAGGAACACCAGUGGCGAAGGCGGCUCACUGGAC
This 678-nucleotide ribosomal RNA is filed under the name Brucella rhizosphaerae. RNAcentral describes it as "bacterial SSU rRNA". It matches the Rfam family "Bacterial small subunit ribosomal RNA", at positions 8 to 734 of the family's 1533-position model. Lineage: Bacteria; Pseudomonadati; Pseudomonadota; Alphaproteobacteria; Hyphomicrobiales; Brucellaceae. The record is from RNAcentral.